RNAcentral lists this ribosomal RNA (548 nucleotides) under uncultured Glomeromycotina. RNAcentral's name for it is "SSU rRNA". It matches the Rfam family "Eukaryotic small subunit ribosomal RNA", at positions 549 to 1098 of the family's 1831-position model. The record is from RNAcentral. Lineage: Eukaryota; Fungi; Glomeromycota.
UGGAGGGCAAGUCUGGUGCCAGCAGCCGCGGUAAUUCCAGCUCCAAUAGCGUAUAUUAAAGUUGUUGCAGUUAAAAAGCUCGUAGUUGAAUUUCGGGGUUAGUAGGUUGGUCAUGCCUCUGGUAUGUACUGGUCUCACUGAUUCCUCCUUCCUGAUGAGCCGUAAUGCCAUUAAUUUGGUGUUGCGGGGAAUUUGGACUGUUACUUUGAAAAAAUUAGAGUGUUUAAAGCAAGCUAACGCUUGAAUACAUUAGCAUGGAAUAAUGAAAUAGGACGUUCGAUCCUAUUUUGUUGGUUUCUAGGAUUGACGUAAUGAUUAAUAGGGAUAGUUGGGGGCAUUAGUAUUCAAUUGUCAGAGGUGAAAUUCUUGGAUUUAUUGAAGACUAACUACUGCGAAAGCAUUUGCCAAGGAUGUUUUCAUUAAUCAAGAACGAAAGUUAGGGGAUCGAAGACGAUCAGAUACCGUCGUAGUCUUAACCAUAAACUAUGCCGACUAGGGAUCGGAUGAUGUUAAUUUUUUAAUGACUCAUUCGGCGCCUUACGGGAAAC